This 159-nucleotide ribosomal RNA is filed under the name Fusarium sp. RNAcentral's name for it is "5.8S ribosomal RNA". It matches the Rfam family "5.8S ribosomal RNA". From Rfam's summary of the family: 5.8S ribosomal RNA (5.8S rRNA) is a component of the large subunit of the eukaryotic ribosome. The record is from RNAcentral. Lineage: Eukaryota; Fungi; Ascomycota; Sordariomycetes; Hypocreales; Nectriaceae.
AAACUUUCAACAACGGAUCUCUUGGUUCUGGCAUCGAUGAAGAACGCAGCAAAAUGCGAUAAGUAAUGUGAAUUUGCAGAAUUCAGUGAAUCAUCGAAUCUUUGAACGCACAUUGCGCCCGCUGGUAUUCCGGCGGGCAUGCCUGUUCGAGCGUCAUUU